This 204-nucleotide unclassified non-coding RNA is filed under the name Ascomycota sp. Its description in RNAcentral is "partial contains small subunit ribosomal RNA and internal transcribed spacer 1". The stretch from base 1 to 47 matches the Rfam family "Eukaryotic small subunit ribosomal RNA", at positions 1785 to 1831 of the family's 1831-position model. The record is from RNAcentral. Lineage: Eukaryota; Fungi; Ascomycota.
AAAGUCGUAACAAGGUUUCCGUAGGUGAACCUGCGGAAGGAUCAUUAUUGAGAGAGUGGCUCCUAUGGGGGGCCCAAACACCCCUUUAUCAUCCGCGGCGGCGACAAGGCUGCCGAGAGGAUUAUAUUUUUUCUGCGUGUUGCAUGUGUCUGAGUGGAGAUAUUAGCUUCAUCAAAACUAUGAACAACGGAUCUCUAGGCUCUU